Molecule: long non-coding RNA, 1449 nt
Filed under: Mus musculus (house mouse)
Lineage: Eukaryota; Metazoa; Chordata; Mammalia; Rodentia; Muridae
Description: RNA imprinted and accumulated in nucleus
Source: RNAcentral
ACAUAUACUGAGUACAAGCCCAGGAGCAAUGACAAGAGUCUCCCAUAGAAACUACACAGCACAGGGCUGGUCGUCCUUACAGGAUUUUCCCUUGUUCUCAGCAUCUAGACCCGUAACGCCCACUUCAGAAUGGGAGGGAGGAUGUCUGCUGCCCUGUCGUCUCCACACCCGAGGAAUGUCCGUGUGUGUGUGUGUGUGGUGUGCACAGCGGGCUGCACACAGCGGGCUCCACGGUGCUCGAAUGGAGGCCCUAAUGUGAAUGGAGACUAGCCUGCUGGUAGAGACCUUGGCAGUGACCGCUGUGGGCAAUGAGCCAUGGGCCAACAAUAUUCAAUGCUGUGUACCUGAUGGAUGGUUACUGUCUGAGACUGAGGCUUUUUGGGCCAGGAGUAAAAGGACUUGGUUUGUACUUGAUUGCGUCCUGUGGAUGCUUGCCUACCAACUGACUCAUCCUGACGUGCCAAAGGUCCUGGCUUUCCCCUGUGUGGGUAAGGGAAGAAGAGAGUUCUAAUGAGAGCGUGGCUGGCAUCGCUUCAUGAUUACAUUCUGGGAAAGAUCUUGCCUGUUAACCUCUAGAGAAGGAGGGACGAUACAGACAACCACUGGUGGAAGUUGUUGUUAAACAGUGGGUCUUGCAUGCAAGCUCUACAGUUAUGCACAGUAUUUCCAUGACAUCCCAAGCCAUGAGGUUCAUGCUGCCAUAUCCCCCUGUUUAACAAGUGUGGAAACUGAUGUAAGUGGAGUCAAAGUCUUGGUUUGGGUGGCCAUCGUAAAUGUUCCUGCUAAGAUAGGCAUAGGCUCCAGUAAGAUCAACUCAACAUGAUCAUAAAUACCAUGUUGAGGAUUUCCAAAAUUUAGAGAAAUGACAGAGAGUCACAGGGGCACAAACUCUGUUGAUGAACUUCAAUACACCAAGAUCUUGUGCAAGGAUCUGUGAUGAAGAGUUAUGUAAAUAUUCUAAUUGAUCCAUAUAGUUGUUAAUAAAAGGGGAAAGUGUGAGAGAAGUUGAAGGACAGUGUUGAGUCAAUGAUGGCCAGUGAUGAUGUAUGAAUCGGGAUCAUAGCUACAGGUCUGGUCGUCAGAGGUCCACACCCAAACACGUGUAGUGUGGAGCUGUGAUAUAGAUAUUGGAUGUAAAUUAGUGUGUUAAAAUCCUUAGGUUCAUCUGUUUUCAUUCUACCCGGACUUAGAUUAAACUAAAUGAAAGAGGUCAAAGCAUUCUCUAAUUAUUUAAAUAACACCAAGUAGUACUACUAACAGUAUGAAUAUCAAAGUUUAGAAAUUCAUUAGUAAUAAAUGGCCAGAGUUAGAAACCCUUAGCUGAGAAUUUUGUGUGCUGUUUUAAAUGGCGGACAAAAUUCUCGUUUGGUUAAGAACCUGGUCUCCUGUUUAUUUUCUAGAGAAGAAUGUAUCACAGCUUCAUGUAACUCGAGGGGUAAAAUAAAAAAA